GACGAACGCUGGCGGCGUGCUUAACACAUGCAAGUCGAACGGAAAGGCCCUGCUUUUGUGGGGUGCUCGAGUGGCGAACGGGUGAGUAACACGUGAGUAACCUGCCCUUGACUUUGGGAUAACUUCAGGAAACUGGGGCUAAUACCGGAUAGGAGCUCCUGCUGCAUGGUGGGGGUUGGAAAGUUUCGGCGGGUGGGGAUGGACUCGCGGCUUAUCAGCUUGUUGGUGGGGUAGUGGCUUACCAAGGCUUUGACGGGUAGCCGGCCUGAGAGGGUGACCGGCCACAUUGGGACUGAGAUACGGCCCAGACUCGUACGGGAGGCAGCAGUGGGGAAUAUUGCACAAUGGGCGGAAGCCUGAUGAAGAAACGCCGCGUGCGGGAUGACGGCCUUCGGGUUGUAAACCGCUUUCGCCUGUGACGAAGCGUGAGUGACGGUAAUGGGUAAAGAAGCACCGGCUAACUACGUG
RNAcentral lists this ribosomal RNA (468 nucleotides) under uncultured bacterium. RNAcentral's name for it is "partial 16S ribosomal RNA". It matches the Rfam family "Bacterial small subunit ribosomal RNA", at positions 28 to 507 of the family's 1533-position model. The record is from RNAcentral.